RNAcentral lists this ribosomal RNA (253 nucleotides) under uncultured bacterium. RNAcentral's name for it is "partial 16S ribosomal RNA". It matches the Rfam family "Bacterial small subunit ribosomal RNA", at positions 524 to 776 of the family's 1533-position model. The record is from RNAcentral.
UACGUAGGGACCAAGCGUUGUUCGGAUUUACUGGGCGUAAAGGGCGCGUAGGCGGCAAUUCAAGUCAUCUGUGAAAUCUCCGGGCUUAACCCGGAACGGUCAGAUGAUACUGCUUUGCUAGAGUGCGGAAGGGGCAAUCGGAAUUCUUGGUGUAGCGGUGAAAUGCGUAGAUAUCAAGAGGAACACCUGAGGUGAAGACGGGUUGCUGGGCCGACACUGACGCUGAGACACGAAAGCGUGGGUAGCAAACAGG